This 329-nucleotide ribosomal RNA is filed under the name uncultured eukaryote. RNAcentral's name for it is "partial 18S ribosomal RNA". It matches the Rfam family "Eukaryotic small subunit ribosomal RNA", at positions 1470 to 1796 of the family's 1831-position model. The record is from RNAcentral.
CCCCUAGACGUUCUGGGCUGCACGCGCGCUACAAUAAUACGCACAGCGAGUAUCACCGAGCUCGAAAGGGCAAGGUAAACAAUAGAAAAGGUACUGUAAUGGUUAUAGAUCCUUGUAAUUAUUGAUCUUCAACGAGGAAUUCCUAGUAAGUAUGUGUCAUCAUCACGCACUGAUUACGUCCCUGCCCUUUGUACACACCGCCCGUCGCUACUACCGAUUGAAUGGUUUAGUGAGAUCUCCGGAUUGGCUCUGUAGGUCCCGCAAGGGAUUUAUUAGUAGCCAAGAAGCUGCUCAAACUUGAUCAUUUAGAGGAAGUAAAAGUCGUAACA